UACAGAGGUCCCAAGCGUUGUUCGGAUUCAUUGGGCGUAAAGGGUGCGUAGGUGGCUUGGUAAGUCGGGUGUGAAAUCCCGGGGCUCAACCCCGGAACUGCACUCGAUACUGCCGUGCUCGAGUACUGGAGAGGAGACUGGAAUUUACGGUGUAGCAGUGAAAUGCGUAGAUAUCGUAAGGAAGACCGGUGGCGAAGGCUAGUCUCUGGACAGUUACUGACACUGAGGCACGAAGGCCAGGGGAGCAAACGGG
This 253-nucleotide ribosomal RNA is filed under the name uncultured bacterium. RNAcentral's name for it is "partial 16S ribosomal RNA". It matches the Rfam family "Bacterial small subunit ribosomal RNA", at positions 524 to 776 of the family's 1533-position model. The record is from RNAcentral.